UUAAUUGAAACCAAAAAAAAAGAGGUAUAUUACUGUUAAUAAUAAAAUUGAAUUAGGUAUUACAAUUCCAAUUAA
Clunio marinus is the source of this 75-nucleotide non-coding RNA. NCBI's taxonomy places the organism in Eukaryota, Metazoa, Arthropoda, Insecta, Diptera, Chironomidae. The record is from the annotation of a GenBank genome assembly.